Molecule: long non-coding RNA, 418 nt
Organism: Passer domesticus (house sparrow)
Lineage: Eukaryota; Metazoa; Chordata; Aves; Passeriformes; Passeridae
Exons: 3
Source: RefSeq, a predicted model, not a curated record
GCCGGGCUGGACAGGUCUGGGAGCAGCCUGGGACAGUGGAAGGUGUCCCUGCCCAUGGCAGGGAGUGGAACAGGAUAAACUUUAAUUCCCUUACAAACCAUUCUGAGAUUCUGAGUGUUGAUGGAGCAGGCUCAUUAACUUCUGCUGCUCAGGAGAUAUUAACAAAACCACAAGUGCACAGCUCAGCUCUGAUAUCCAAUCCUUCCACAUCCCUCCAGGAUCCCAGCUGGUGCAUUUGCUGUACAAGGAUCUCCCCAGGGAGAGGGAUUUGCUGAGCCCUGAGCAGAUGCUGAGAUGAGGAAGAGAAGAGCAGGAAUCAGCAGAAAUGCUGUGAAGACAAGGAUUCAGGAGCUGUGAGACACCCCAAGCAGCACAGAGACCUGCUCUGCUGGGAUACACAUUCCAGGGAAGGAGCUGC